AGUAGUGUGCUUGACAAAAAGAUUGCUUUGAUGUAGCAAAAAUGAGGGACCCUUCCCUCCAUUACUA
This 67-nucleotide transfer RNA is filed under the name Alpheus japonicus. RNAcentral's name for it is "tRNA-Ile". The record is from RNAcentral. Lineage: Eukaryota; Metazoa; Arthropoda; Malacostraca; Decapoda; Alpheidae.